This 551-nucleotide ribosomal RNA is filed under the name Halomonas sp. 7D_(MB)_50.2mbsf. RNAcentral describes it as "bacterial SSU rRNA". It matches the Rfam family "Bacterial small subunit ribosomal RNA", at positions 71 to 622 of the family's 1533-position model. Lineage: Bacteria; Pseudomonadati; Pseudomonadota; Gammaproteobacteria; Oceanospirillales; Halomonadaceae. The record is from RNAcentral.
AGAUCUAGCUUGCUAGAUGCUGACGAGCGGCGGACGGGUGAGUAAUGCAUAGGAAUCUGCCCUGUAGUGGGGGAUAACCUGGGGAAACCCAGGCUAAUACCGCAUACGUCCUACGGGAGAAAGGGGGCUUUGGCUCCCGCUACGGGAUGAGCCUAUGUCGGAUUAGCUAGUUGGUGAGGUAACGGCUCACCAAGGCGACGAUCCGUAGCUGGUCUGAGAGGAUGAUCAGCCACAUCGGGACUGANACACGGCCCGAACUCCUACGGGAGGCAGCAGUGGGGAAUAUUGGACAAUGGGGGGAACCCUGAUCCAGCCAUGCCGCGUGUGUGAAGAAGGCCUUCGGGUUGUAAAGCACUUUCAGCGAGGAAGAACGCCUAGUGGUUAAUACCCAUUAGGAAAGACAUCACUCGCAGAAGAAGCACCGGCUAACUCCGUGCCAGCAGCCGCGGUAAUACGGAGGGUGCAAGCGUUAAUCGGAAUUACUGGGCGUAAAGCGCGCGUAGGUGGCUUGAUAAGCCGGUUGUGAAAGCCCCGGGCUCAACCUGGGAACG